ACGGGAGGCAGCAGUGGGGAAUAUUGGACAAUGGGGGAAACCCUGAUCCAGCGACGCCGCGUGAGUGAAGAAGUAUUUCGGUAUGUAAAGCUCUAUCAGCAAGGAAGAAAAUGACGGUACUUGACUAAGGAGCCCCGGCUAACUACGUGCCAGCAGCCGCGGUAAUACGUAGGGGGCAAGCGUUAUCCGGAUUUACUGGGUGUAAAGGGAGCGUAGACGGCAUAGCAAGUCUGAAGUGAAAUGCAUGGGCUCAACCCAUGAACUGCUUUGGAAACUGUUAAGCUAGAGUGCAGGAGAGGUAAGUGGAAUUCCUAGUGUAGCGGUGAAAUGCGUAGAUAUUAGGAGGAACACCAGUGGCGAAGGCGGCUUACUGGACUGUAACUGACGUUGAGGCUCGAAAGCGUGGGGAGCAAACAGGAUUAGAUACCCUGGUA
RNAcentral lists this ribosomal RNA (434 nucleotides) under uncultured Lachnospiraceae bacterium. Its description in RNAcentral is "bacterial SSU rRNA". It matches the Rfam family "Bacterial small subunit ribosomal RNA", at positions 341 to 792 of the family's 1533-position model. The record is from RNAcentral. Lineage: Bacteria; Bacillati; Bacillota; Clostridia; Lachnospirales; Lachnospiraceae.